Molecule: small nucleolar RNA, 133 nt
Filed under: Oryzias melastigma (Indian medaka)
Lineage: Eukaryota; Metazoa; Chordata; Actinopteri; Beloniformes; Adrianichthyidae
Description: Small nucleolar RNA SNORA13 (ENSOMEG00000008155.1)
Rfam family: Small nucleolar RNA SNORA13
About the family: ACA13 is a member of the H/ACA class of snoRNA that guide the sites of modification of uridines to pseudouridines.
Source: Rfam by way of RNAcentral
UGCCUUUAUGUGUUGCCCAUUCAUCCCCUCUGUGGUGACUGGGGUGUCAACUAAGGCAAACAGUAACAGCUGUAGUUGUUUGUGAAAUGAGAUUUUUCCUUUUCUCAUCUUUAAAACAGCUGCAAGGACACAU